CUUAUUUGUUCACGUCGUGUUCAUGGUCGUGUCUAAAAUUGCUACCCUAGAUUUGAGACCCCACAAUCCGUGUUCUUUUUUGAGCUUCCUAUGGAGAGGAGAGGGAAGGUCCAAGUACAAGCCAAGAUUGGCUGCAAUUCAAAAUAAGCCACUUCAGUUUUCUUAAACCUUUUAAAGAAGUGAGAGUUUUGUACAUGUAAGGUAAGGUUUUUGGCAUUUGGGUUCUUUCCUGUAAACGUUUUGAUGAUACGCGUAUUGUUACAUUUGCUAUAGUAGGGAUUUUAUCAGUCUAUGGAUGAAGUCAUAGAUUAAUUUUACUUUGAAUUUAGCCAUCUGGGUAUUUCUCACAACUUGUUUGAUGUGGGUUUUGCGAUUGAAGUAAUUUGGUGUCGAUUGUUUUGGAAGUGAAAAUCUAUUCUGCGAUCAGGGUUUUGGUUAGAAGCAUGUUCGGUGAUCUGGGUUUAGCUCAAAAACCAGAACAGCGAUCAGUUUUUUUUUUUCUUUUUGCUUGAACUUAGCUGGUGAAGGUUGUUUGACUACAAGGAGGUUACGGUAUUCUGAAGAAUAAACGUUUGGUGAUAUCAGGCUUUUAGUUGAUGAAGUUUGGUGAUUUGAAUAUUUAUUAAUUUUGGAAAUUUGUUUCAAUUGAAAUUGAUAAGUGAGUUAUCUUCGAAAUUUUGUUUCUGCACUGGAAUUGAUAAAAUUUUGGCAUGUGAAUUUUAUGACUUGAAAGUUGGAAACUUUGGAAUGGCGACUGCAUCUCCACCCCCAAAUUCAUCCACUUCUGCUCUUCCACCAGGUUCAACCACUCCACUACCGCCAUCCACCUCUAAUUCGCAACCACCCUUCACCACCAGUCCGCCACCACAAUCUUCCUCUUCUCCACCCGACCCUCCUACGAUUUCUCCCCCUUCACAGCCCAAUGCCAAUCCAACAGACCUCUCUGCCCCUUCAAGUCUAUCCCCACCUCCUCAGUCCCCUCCUUCUGCUGUUGUUGCAAAGCCUCCACCUUCUACACCAUCAACCUCACCACCUCCAACUUCACCUCCUCCACCUUUACUCAAUGCUGAUCCUCCAACCUCCAAUUCUCCACCACCGCCUUCACAAGCAGCAAGUCCACCCAUAAGUUCGCCUCCUCCCUCACCACCAUCUAAUCCAACUUCACCACCACCAACCCCCAAUCCACGUACAAGUUCUUCACCACCACCAACAACAACCCCACCAGCUAAUUCGCCUCCACCAACAUCACCAAAUCCACCUCUACCAUCAUCAAAGCCACCUGAAAA
This 1286-nucleotide unclassified non-coding RNA is filed under the name Hevea brasiliensis (rubber tree). The record is from RNAcentral. Lineage: Eukaryota; Viridiplantae; Streptophyta; Magnoliopsida; Malpighiales; Euphorbiaceae.